This is a long non-coding RNA of Ruditapes philippinarum (Manila clam), 727 nucleotides long. RefSeq lists it as uncharacterized. The transcript is spliced from 3 exons. The record is from RefSeq and is a predicted model, not a curated record. Lineage: Eukaryota; Metazoa; Mollusca; Bivalvia; Venerida; Veneridae.
GGAUCUUGCAAAAUUUUGGAGAUUACAUCUUGUUUUUGAAUGUUGUGUACAUAUUUUGGAAUUUUCAAAGAAAACAUUUAUCUAAAUGUGACAAGAUUGUGGAAAUGUUUGGUUGUUGUAAAUGAACUAAGAGUGAACUGAGGGAGGAAGAUUUUAUACAAAAGAAUCAUAGUAAAAAGUUUCAGACUGGGCCAUUGCAGACUGUGAAAAUUUGCCAACUUAGUGUUUAUAGUAUCAGCAAUAUUUCACUACCUUGGAGUCUGAAAAGGUGAACGCAACCACAAGAUGUGCCACUAGGAAACAUUUGCACAGGACGUUAGCUGACAUUAUGAGGAAAAAUUGUGGUUUUGAUAAUCAGUUUGAAAGAAAGUUUUGGUUUGUGACAGACAACAUAAUAGUUGAAAUCAAUGUGAUCAAAGAAAGCAGCAGUACUUACAAAAGUCAUGUACAGAUACUAUUGCACAAUAAAAAAGCUGUUUGUGACACUUGAAGUUUAUGUAGGAUGUAUUCUGUAUCUAGACAAAAAGGAUAUCUUUUAUUUGUGAAGAAAAACAAACUGUGAUAAUUUUUCAUAUCUUAACUUGGAUUAUUGAAAUACAAUUAGAUCUGAUUAAAAUUGUGAUUUUAAGAGAAUAAUCAUAUAAACAUACAUGUAUUUUUACUCAUAAGCUUAUAGAUAAGUUUACUACAUGAAUAUUGAAUUAAUUAUUACAUAUAAACUAUAUUU